This 456-nucleotide unclassified non-coding RNA is filed under the name uncultured Bordetella sp. Its description in RNAcentral is "partial 16S-23S ribosomal RNA intergenic spacer". It matches the Rfam family "Bacterial small subunit ribosomal RNA", at positions 340 to 794 of the family's 1533-position model. Lineage: Bacteria; Pseudomonadati; Pseudomonadota; Betaproteobacteria; Burkholderiales; Alcaligenaceae. The record is from RNAcentral.
UACGGGACGCGGCAGUGGGAAUUUUUGGACAAUGGGGGAAACCUGAUCCAGCCAUCCCGCGUGUGCAGUGAAGGCCUUCGGGUUGUAAAACACUUUUUGGCAGGAAAACGGCGCAGGAUAAUACCCGUGCAGCGACGGUACUGCGAGAUAAGCACCGGCUAACUGCGUGCCCAGCCAGCCGCGGUAAUACGUAGGGUGCAAGCGUUAAUCAGAAUUACUGGGCGUAAAGCGUGCGCAGGCAGUUCGGAAAGAAAGAUGUAGAAAUCAGAGCUUAACUUUGGAGACUGCAUUUUAACUACCGAGCUAGAGUGUGUCAGAGGAGGUGGAAUUCCGCCGUGUAGCAGUGAAAUGCGUAGAUAUGCGGAGGAACACCGAUGGCAGAGGCAGCCUCCUGGGAUAACACUGACGCUCAUGCACGAAAGCGUGGGAGCAAACGGGAUUAGAUACCCUCGUAGU